RNAcentral lists this ribosomal RNA (403 nucleotides) under uncultured bacterium. RNAcentral's name for it is "bacterial SSU rRNA". It matches the Rfam family "Bacterial small subunit ribosomal RNA", at positions 356 to 773 of the family's 1533-position model. The record is from RNAcentral.
GGGGGAUAUUGCACAAUGGAGGAAACUCUGAUGCAGCAACGCCGCGUGAAGGAUGAAGGUUUUCGGAUUGUAAACUUCUUUAGUCAGGGACGAAAAAAAUGACGGUACCUGAAGAAUAAGCCACGGCUAACUACGUGCCAGCAGCCGCGGUAAUACGUAGGUGGCAAGCGUUGUCCGGAAUUACUGGGUGUAAAGGGCGUGUAGGCGGGAAUGUAAGUCAGAUGUGAAAUCCCAGGGCUUAACCCUGGAGCUGCAUCUGAAACUAUGUAUCUUGAGUGCCGGAGAGGAAAGCGGAAUUCCUAGUGUAGCGGUGAAAUGCGUAGAGAUUAGGAGGAACACCAGUGGCGAAGGCGGCUUUCUGGACGGUAACUGACGCUGAGGCGCGAAAGCGUGGGGAGCAAAC